CUUGUACACACCGCCCGUCAAGUGAUGGGAGUUGGCUUUACCCGAAGACGGUGUGCUAACUUUUGAGGCAGCCGGCCACGGUAAGGUCAGCGACUGGCACU
Molecule: ribosomal RNA, 101 nt
Filed under: uncultured bacterium
Lineage: Bacteria
Description: partial 16S ribosomal RNA
Rfam family: Bacterial small subunit ribosomal RNA
Source: RNAcentral